UUAACUGCCAACAUGACGACAUGAAUGAAGCUGGAGGUGGGGGUGGAGGUGGCUGAGGCUCGGCUCUGGUGUGGUGCGUCGUUUGAGUAAUUGAGUAAACAAUGCCGGCACGGUAUAUAUACAUACCUGCUUGACAGAGGGAGCGAGAGAGAGAGAGAGAGAGUGGUGAGAGUGGUUAGGGGCCAAGAGUCAAGAGGGCAGCAAUCACUGGCAGCAGCCCAACGUUGCAAACUUUAUAUACAGUCAAGUGAUUAGCAACAAACUUGCGCAGCAAAAUCAACGCAGUACCGGAAGGGGACUGGGAGACUGGGAGACCGGCACUGCCACUGCCACUGCGACUGCCACUGGGAUUGGCACUGGGAUUGGGACUAGGAUCAGGACUAGCAGUAACAGCAGCGGAGAGCCUCUCAAAGGCAAACAAGCGGCAACUGGCAACUACCCCGAGCUGUUGUCGAUGCACGGGCCACAGGGGCGACCUCAUCGAUAUGCAACGCACAUGCAACGACGGUCUGGAUUGGCCUUUUCGUGGCAAUGCCACUCACCCGCACCCGCACCUCACCCACUUACCUCAAGGCACACAGGACACUCCAGUAAUUGGGAAAUAUGUUGAAGGCAUGUUGCAAACUUUUGCAGCGAUUGUUGAUUAAUUCCAUGCUGCUGCAAAGACACAAAGCGAGGGGAAAACUUUGGUUAAUUUUAGUGUUUUGGCUUCAAGGUUGAGAGAAUUGCAAUCAAAUGAGUCCGAGGAAUGCCUUUAAUGGUAUUGAAUGCAUCCAUUUGGACGGAUUUGCAUGCAAUUAUCAAAACGAGCAAAGCACUGCAUUAUUGUGAUUCAAUAAAAUGAUUAUACUGCCACCGACAGGAUGCAUGUUACAUCCGAGAGAUACAUACAUCCAUCCAUGGUCGAGUUUAAUCUGUUUAACGGACACACAGACACACGGAGACUCGAUUUGAUGCAGAUGCAUAGCCUUCAGCCUUGAUUGAAAUGGACGUUCCACGUGCACCAGGUAUGCCAGAAAUGUGUCUGUGUGGCAGCAAUUUUCGACUGUCCGACAGGGUCCACCCCUUUGAGGACAUUUGGGUCAAUUGAAUUGUAAUAAAGUACACAUGAUGUGUCAAGAACAAAAUU
Molecule: long non-coding RNA, 1129 nt
Organism: Drosophila pseudoobscura
Lineage: Eukaryota; Metazoa; Arthropoda; Insecta; Diptera; Drosophilidae
Exons: 2
Source: RefSeq, a predicted model, not a curated record